CAUCAAUAAGAUUGUCAAAAUAAGUUUCUAGGAACUUAGCUGUUAAUCAGUGAAAAGAGACAAAAUACUUAAGGAUAAAAUUGAUCGCAUUACAUUACAAUUACAUUACAGAUAAGUGCAUAUAACAGAGGGUGGACUUAUUACAUGGCUAAGGGCUUCUAAAUGCUAGCAGUGGCGCAGUUGUAGAAUGUUUUUGUGAGUGUACACUGGGGUAGUGUGGGCCUAAAUAAACACGUAUGUUUGUGCUCUAUCUAGGGGAUUAUCAGUCUCAGACAUCUGCGUGAGCUGCAUCUGGGAGAGCUAUGUUUCUGAAUCUUUCUUGGUCUAUCAUAUAUCAUAUAUGAGUGUACAUUAGUCAAACGGUUCACUCACCAUCACCAAGAUGGAACUUUAAUGCUAUCUCUUAUGUCAUUGCUGUUUCAAAAACCUCAGACUCAGGAUCAGGAAUCAGGAAUCAGAAGAAAAUAUUAAUGAUAACUUCAUCCUCAAGCACAAUGGACAAAGCUAUAGAUGUACCUAAUUCUUCAGCAAAAAUGUACAGUUAUGAGAUCUUGACAUCUAUGGUUCUUCAUUGUUCAGGACACAGCUGAAGUAUUACCUUUCCCAAGAGAUCUUACAUGACAAUAACCACCCCUGUCCUAUGUUUUGGUAUCAAGAUGAAGCUGACCUCAUAGAAUGAGUUGAAGAGUAGUCCCUCCUCCUCACUUUCUUGGAACAGUUUCUGUAGGAAUGGAACCAGCUCUUCUUUGUACAUCUGGUAGAAUUUGGCUGUGACUCCAUCAGGUCCUGGGCUUUUUUUUUUUUUUGGUUGGUAGGCUAUUUAUUACUGAUUCAAUUUUGGAGCCCAUCAUUGGUCUGUUCAGGGAAUCAAUUUCUUCCUGGCUCAGUCUUGGGAGGGUGUGUGUGUCCAGGAAUUUAUCAGUCUCUUCUAGAUUUUCUAGUUUGUGUGCAUAGAGGUGUUUAUAGUAGUUUCUGAUGGUUGUCUUUAUAUCUGUUGGGUCAGUGGUACCAUUCCUUUCAUCAUUUUUAAUUGUGUUUAUUUGGAUCUUCUCUUUUGUCUUCUUUAUUAGCCUAGCUAGUGGCAUAUCUAUUUUAUUAAUUUUUUCAAAAAACCAAUUCCUGGAUUUGUUGAGAUCUCUACAAUAAGCAUUACAAAACACUGCUGAAAGAAAUCAGAGAAGACACAAACAAAUGAAAAAAACAUCUCUUGCUCAUGGAUAGGAAGAAACAAUGUUAUUAAAAUGGCUAUACUGCCCAAAGUAAUUUACAGAUUCAUUGUUAUUCCUAUCAAACUGCCAACAAUAUUCCUCAAAGAACUAGAAAAAACUAUUUUAAAAUUCAUAUGGAACUAAAAAAGAGCCUUAAUAGCCAAGGCAAUCCUAAACAAAAAGAAAAAGCUGGAGGCAUCACGCUACUUGACUUUAUGCUACAAGGCUACAGUAGCAAAAACACCCAUGUUUCUGGUACAAAAACAGGUGCAUAGACCAAUGGAACGGAAUAAAGAGCCCUGAAAUAAUGCCGCACAUCUCCAACUAUCUAGUCUUUGACAAAGCUGACAAAAACAAGCAAUGGGGAAAUGACUCUUUAUUCAAUAAAUAGUGCUGGGAUAACUGGCUAGUCAUAUGCAGAGGAUUGAAGUUGGACACUUUCCUUACACCAUACACAAAAAUCAACUCAAGGCAGAUUAAAGACUUAAAUAUAAAUCCGAAAACUAUAAAAACCUUGCAAAACAACCUAGUCAAUACCAUCCUGGAUGUAGGAAUGGGCAAAUAUUUCAUGACAAAGACACCAAAAGCAAUCACAACGAAAGCAAAAAUUGACAAGUGGAAUCUAAUUAAACUUAAGAACUGCACAGCAAAAGACACUAUCAACAGAGUAAAUAGACAACCUACAGAAUGGGAGAAAGUAUUAGCAAACUAUGCAUCUGACAGACAAAGGUCUAAUAUCUAGCAUCUAUAAGGAUCUUAAACAAAUUUACAAGAGAAAAGCAAACAACCCUAUUAAGAAGUGGGCAAAGGACAUGAACAGACACUUCUCAAAACAAAACAUAUAUGUGGUCAACAAGCAUUUGAAAAAGAGCUCAAUAUCACUAAUCGUAAGAGAAAUGCAAAUCAAAACCACAAUGAGAUACCAUCUCAUAACAGUCUGAAUGGCCAUUAUUAAAAAGUCAAAAAACAACAGAUGCUGGUGAGGUUGUGGAGAAAAGGGAACACUUAUACACUGUUGGUGGGAGUAGACAUUUGUCCAACUAUUGUGAAAAGCAGUAUGGUGAUUCCUCAAAGAGCUAAAAGCAGAACUACCAGUUGACUCAACAAUUCUAUUACUGGAUAUAUACCCAGAGGAAUAUAAAUUGACCAUAUGGUGUUUCUACCAUAAAGACACAUGCAUGUGAAUGUUCAUUGCAACACUAUUCACAAUUGCAAAGACAUGGAAUUAACCUAAAUGCCUAUCAAUGACAGAUUGGAUAAAGAAAAUGUGGCACUUAUACACCAUGAAAUACUAUGCAGCCAUAAAAAAGAACAAGAUGUCUGUGGACAGAACAUGGAUGGAGCUGACAAAACAAAAAAACAAAAAAAAUUUAGCAAACUAACACGGGAACAGAAAACCAAAUACCACAUGUUCUCACUUAUAGGUGGGAGCUAAAGGAUAAGAACUUAUAAACACAAAGAAGGAAACAACAGACACUGGAGUCUCCUUGAGAGGGAGGGCGGGAGGAGAGAGGGGAACAGAAAAGCUAACUAUUUGGUACUGGGCUUAAUACCUGGAUGAUGAAAUAAUAAGUUAAACAAACCCCCGUGACAUGUGUUUACCUGUGUAACAAACCAUAUGUACCCCGAA
This 2838-nucleotide long non-coding RNA is filed under the name Pan troglodytes (chimpanzee). Its description in RNAcentral is "long non-coding RNA NONPTRT017129". The record is from RNAcentral. Lineage: Eukaryota; Metazoa; Chordata; Mammalia; Primates; Hominidae.